This 292-nucleotide ribosomal RNA is filed under the name uncultured bacterium. RNAcentral describes it as "partial 16S ribosomal RNA". It matches the Rfam family "Bacterial small subunit ribosomal RNA", at positions 505 to 796 of the family's 1533-position model. The record is from RNAcentral.
GUGCCAGCAGCCGCGGUAAUACGUAGGGGGCAAGCGUUGUCCGGAUUUAUUGGGCGUAAAGCGCUCGCAGGUGGUUCAUUGCGUCGUGCGUGAAAGACCCCGGCUCAACUGGGGAGGGUCGUGCGAAACGGGUGAACUAGAGGCCAGUAGGGGGAUGCGGAAUUCCGGGUGUAGUGGUGGAAUGCGUAGAGAUCCGGAGGAACACCAGCGGCGAAGGCGGCAUCCUGGACUGGUCCUGACACUCAGGAGCGAAAGCGUGGGGAGCGAUCCGGAUUAGAUACCCGGGUAGUCC